RNAcentral lists this long non-coding RNA (1636 nucleotides) under Salmo salar (Atlantic salmon). RNAcentral describes it as "lncRNA (ENSSSAG00000110001.1)". Lineage: Eukaryota; Metazoa; Chordata; Actinopteri; Salmoniformes; Salmonidae. The record is from RNAcentral.
CUAGGUUUUAUCACAACGGGAGUCCCAUAGGGCUGUGCACAAUUGUCCUGAUAGGGUUUGAUGGGGUUAGGCAGUGAAUGAGUCAAGUGCCCAGUUCUGCAGUCUGGUGUCAGUCUGACCAUGUGACCUGCAGUGAACGGUCCUCCACCCUGUUCCUCAGGCUCUCAAAGCUGCAUUCUGGUUGGUCAAUCUGAGACCAUGUUAUGUGCAGUGAUCCACCAUCCCUCUGUCCUCUGGUUCCAUAGACGGGAUGGGCAGCCCCUCCCGUGGUUUCUCUGGAGCGUUGUCUUUCAGAAUCAGAAGGGUGCUGACCUACUUCCAACAUGUUGAAGGGGUGGUUACUGCCCACAGCUGGUGUUAUCCAAUAUAUGCGCUCUGUAUCAAACUAAGCAUUGUAUGUGGGCCAAAUCAUUAGCUAAAUCUUGUAAUGAAUGUAGAGAUUGGCCAAGUUCAAGAUACUAGACUAUUUUGUGUAACCCUGGAUUGUACACUGAAAUGGUACAUUUAAAGAUUCAACGGUAGCUGGGGGGGGGUGAGGUCUGAUAACGCUGCUCUGGUUGCUUGAUAAUCAAUUCGUACAGGCCCUAGUUUUAGCAGACCUGGGCUGCAGUCCAAACUACCCCUUCAGUCCUUAUUAAGCAUUGCAUAUGGGACAAUUCAAUUAACUUAACAUGUUAUCAAUUUAGCAAGUUGUGAAAACAUAUUGCUGUAACGGUAGCUAAAAUGGGGAUGUCUGUGAUAAAGCACUGCUUGUCGAGCCACAAAACAAAUACUGUUUUCACACUACUGCCCAGUUAUAUGUUAAAGUGCCACAAAGGACAGGCAAAUUAGUUGGCCCAGAACAGGGAAGUACUGCUGGCCCUUAAAGGAAUACUUCAGUUUUUAUUUUUAUGCGGCCUUUUAUUUACUUCCCCAGAGUCCAAUGUCCUCAUGGAUAUCCAUUUGGUCUGCAUCCAGUUUCAAAGGAAGUAGCCAGCUAUUGCUAAAUAGCAUUAGCAAAAUUAAGAUGUUUUGUGGUAUCUGCUAAUGCUGACUUACAAUUGCACCAGUUGGCUACUUCCUUCAAACUAGAUGCAGAGACAUAAAUGGUAUUGAGGUCAUCUGACUCGGGAAGUAGACAAAAGAGCCUCGUUGUCAAAAGCCUAAAGUAUCCCUUAAAAUGUACUCGUCACCCCUCCCUCUGCUUGCCCUACCUAUAAACUACUGAGUGACGCAGCGGUCUAAGGCGCUGCAUCUCAGUACUGGAGACCUCACUAGACACCCUGGUUUGAUUCUGGGCUGUAUCACAACUGGCCGUGAUUGGAAAUCCCUUAGGGCAUUGCGCAAUUGGCCCAGCGUCGUCCGGGUUUGGCCUGUGUAGGCCGUCAAUGUAAAUAAGAAUUGGUUCUUAACGGACUUGCCUACUACAUUAACAAAAUAUGUAUUUCAAUGUACCCUACAGCUGGUGUCAGCAACAGUAUGGUUGAUCUCCAGUGUGAGGACUGGUGUUUUAGUUUGAAUAUUUUUGUCAAUAAAGUUUUAUACCGUGUUCUGGUAUUUUGUGUGAAUUAAAUUGAUACUGGGUUGGUUUAUAGUUCUAAUGCAACUCUGCCUGUAUGACCCAUCACUGCUAUCCAUGCAGUAUCUGUAAUAGUGG